AGCAUGUGGUUUAAUUCGAAGCAACGCGAAGAACCUUACCAGGGCUUGACAUGCCGCUGACCGGUGCAGAGAUGCAUCUUUACCCUUCGGGGUACAGCGGACACAGGUGGUGCAUGGUUGUCGUCAGCUCGUGUCGUGAGAUGUUGGGUUAAGUCCCGCAACGAGCGCAACCCUUGUCUUUAGUUGCCAUCAUUAAGUUGGGCACUCUAAAGAGACUGCCGAUGACAAAUCGGAGGAAGGUGGGGAUGACGUCAAAUCAUCAUGCCCUUUAUGUCCUGGGCUACACACGUGCUACAAUGGUCGGUACAACGAGAAGCAAGUCAGCGAUGGCAAGCAAAUCUCUAAAAGCCGAUCCCAGUUCGGAUUGCAGGCUGCAACUCGCCUGCAUGAAGUCGGAGUUGCUAGUAAUCGCGGAUCAGAAUGCCGCGGUGAAUGCGUUCCCGGGUCUU
RNAcentral lists this ribosomal RNA (449 nucleotides) under uncultured Eubacteriales bacterium. RNAcentral's name for it is "bacterial SSU rRNA". It matches the Rfam family "Bacterial small subunit ribosomal RNA", at positions 936 to 1382 of the family's 1533-position model. Lineage: Bacteria; Bacillati; Bacillota; Clostridia; Eubacteriales. The record is from RNAcentral.